GACGAACGCUGGCGGCAUGCCUAACACAUGCAAGUCGAACGAGACCUUCGGGUCUAGUGGCGCACGGGUGCGUAACGCGUGGGAACCUGCACUUAGGUUCGGAAUAACUCCCCGUAAGGGGUGCUAAUACCGGAUAAUCUCUUCGGACCAAAGAUUUAUUGCCUUUGGAUGGGCCCGCGUUGGAUUCGGUAGUUGGUAGGGUAAAAGCCUACCAAGGCGACGAUCCAUAGCUGGUCUGAGAGGAGGAUCAGCCACACUGGGGCUGAGACACGGCCCAGACUCCUACGGGAGGCAGCAGUGGGGAAUAUUGGACAAUGGGCGAAAGCCUGAUCCAGCAAUGCCGCGGGAGUGAUGAAGGCCUUAGGGUUGUAAAGCUCUUUUACCCGGGAUGAUAAUGACAGUACCGGGAGAAUAAGCUCCGGCUAACUCCGUG
This 433-nucleotide ribosomal RNA is filed under the name uncultured bacterium. Its description in RNAcentral is "partial 16S ribosomal RNA". It matches the Rfam family "Bacterial small subunit ribosomal RNA", at positions 28 to 507 of the family's 1533-position model. The record is from RNAcentral.